CCAACGGCCCUCUUUAGGGCCACAUUAAAAAAAACGAAUCAAGU
Molecule: non-coding RNA, 44 nt
Organism: Nippostrongylus brasiliensis
Lineage: Eukaryota; Metazoa; Nematoda; Chromadorea; Rhabditida; Heligmosomidae
Source: Rfam